GAUGAACGCUGGCGGCGUGCCUAAUACAUGCAAGUCGAGCGAACGGACGAGAAGCUUGCUUCUCUGAUGUUAGCGGCGGACGGGGGAGUAACACGUGGAUAACCUACCUAUAAGACUGGGAUAACUUCGGGAAACCGUAGCUAAUACCGGAUAAUAUUUUGAACCGCAUGGUUCAAAAGUGAAAGACGGUCUUGCUGUCACUUAUAGAUGGAUCCGCGCUGCAUUAGCUAGUUGGUAAGGUAACGGCUUACCAAGGCAACGAUGCAUAGCCGACCUGAGAGGGUGAUCGGCCACACUGGAACUGAGACACGGUCCAGACUCCUACGGGAGGCAGCAGUAGGGAAUCUUCCGCAAUGGGCGAAAGCCUGACGGAGCAACGCCGCGUGAGUGAUGAAGGUCUUCGGAUCGUAAAACUCUGUUAUUAGGGAAGAACAUAUGUGUAAGGAACUGUGCACAUCUUGACGGUACCUAAUCAGAAAGCCACGGCUAACUACGUG
Molecule: ribosomal RNA, 497 nt
Filed under: uncultured bacterium
Lineage: Bacteria
Description: partial 16S ribosomal RNA
Rfam family: Bacterial small subunit ribosomal RNA
Source: RNAcentral